GAUGCCAUCCUCCCGUGUCGCUCCGUCACAGCGGGCCAGUCGGUGAAGUCUGCGCGCUGGAGGAGAAACGGGGAAGUACUGCUGGAGCUGAAUGGUCGGACAGGGGAAAUCACAUACGGGGAUGACUUUAACAGAAGCCGGGUAUCGAUACCAUCUGACUGGGACCGACGGGCAGACCUGUCCCUCACCAUAAAGGGAGCUCAGCAACAAGACGGAGGAGUUUAUUACUGCGACAUAGAGAAGGCCGAGAAACACCGCUCUGCUGUCCGCCUGCGAGUGCGCAAACCACCGGAGUCCUACCACUGGAUAUGGAUCACAAUCAUCAUAACAGCAGC
Astatotilapia calliptera (eastern happy) is the source of this 335-nucleotide long non-coding RNA. The record is from Ensembl. Lineage: Eukaryota; Metazoa; Chordata; Actinopteri; Cichliformes; Cichlidae.